GAUGAACGCUGGCGGCGUGCCUAAUACAUGCAAGUCGAGCGAACAGACGAGGAGCUUGCUCCUUUGACGUUAGCGGCGGACGGGUGAGUAACACGUGGGUAACCUACCUAUAAGACUGGGAUAACUUCGGGAAACCGGAGCUAAUACCGGAUAAUAUUUCGAACCGCAUGGUUCGAUAGUGAAAGAUGGCUUUGCUAUCACUUAUAGAUGGACCUGCGCCGUAUUAGCUAGUUGGUAAGGUAACGGCUUACCAAGGCAACGAUACGUAGCCGACCUGAGAGGGUGAUCGGCCACACUGGAACGGAGACACGGUCCAGACUCCUACGGGAGGCAGCAGUAGGGAAUCUUCCGCAAUGGGCGAAAGCCUGACGGAGCAACGCCGCGUGAGUGAUGAAGGUCUUCGGAUCGUAAAACUCUGUUAUUAGGGAAGAACAAACGUGUAAGUAACUGUGCACGUCUUGACGGUACCUAAUCAGAAAGCCACGGCUAACUACGUG
Molecule: ribosomal RNA, 497 nt
Filed under: uncultured bacterium
Lineage: Bacteria
Description: partial 16S ribosomal RNA
Rfam family: Bacterial small subunit ribosomal RNA
Source: RNAcentral